Molecule: long non-coding RNA, 1391 nt
Organism: Cyprinus carpio (common carp)
Lineage: Eukaryota; Metazoa; Chordata; Actinopteri; Cypriniformes; Cyprinidae
Source: Ensembl
CUUCCCCCUAUUGCACAGAAACCAUCAGGAAGUGCGUCAUAAGCAAGGAAGCACUUCCAGGAAAUGGAGCAAAUGCACCAAAUAAGGAGGGAGGAUAUUAGGGUAAAAAAAAAAAAAAAACAUUCUCUCUUUUGCUUAUUUGUUUUAUCAGAAUGUGCAUAAAGAUAGAACAGAACUAGGAUAUAAAUAUUGAGGAAGACUCUGAGGUAGAUAUCUGAAACUAAGUUCUAGUAGUUAUGUGGGGGAAAAAAGGUUAAGGCUAAAUCUCAGAUGUGCAGUUAUGGCAAUUAGCCUGUGGUGGUGCUCUAGUUCCUAGCAACUGUCAUGUGAUUAAUGUAGUAGCAGCCGUUAGCCAUCAGGUGGCACUGUUAGUUAGGGCACUUCCCAGUAUUCCUGACCCAGCCCUUGCAAGGUACUCAGUGUUGCUAGCGCAGGAAGAGAUGAACUGGACUAUUUGACCCAUAAAAAGUACAUGGGGCUGCGUUCAGUGACUGGAUAUCACAGAGGAGAUAGGGCUGGGAGCGGAGACCGAUGCUGAGUGCUGCAGCUGCUUCUGCGGGACAGGACGACCCCUAUGUGUCCUGCUCACAGACAGAGCUCCCAUGAGACACAAGGGAGGAUGAAUACUCUCUCCUUGCCCCACACCGUCUCCCUCAGCCCACCCCCAUUUUCUCUCCAUCGCCUGGACUGAGUCUGAGGCUGCCACACGCACCGGCUGCAAUGCCCUUCGGCCUUGGACAGUCUGGUUCCAGCUCCACCGAAGCUCUUAAUAACUGAGAAAGCCAAACAUGAGGGCCCGUUGGCUGCAGCCGUACCCAUCAGCCCCCACCCACAGGCCCCCGGACUAACCCACAGGCCUCUCUGUCUGCUGCUGAGCUUUGGAAACAGCUGUGCAGUCAUAACAGAGUGUGUGCCCAGACUCAACUCAUGUUUUUUGUUGCUUCAAAGGCAAUCUGAUACACCAUCCCCUGAAACACGCAGACACAAUCACACGCACAUGCUUGCCCACAUGUAUAUUCACAGCAUGUACAAACAGUGCUAAGAUGAAAUGUUCAGGAUACCAGUCUUGCCAAAUCUAAAACCACAUAAUUAAGAGAAAUUAUCUUAAGUUUAAGGUGCAUAACAUAAACUGGACAACAUGGGUUGAUUUGAAAAUUUACCCUUUUCUAACUACCUAUACAUAUUCACCACAGGUUCUGACUGAAAUGAACACUAGUGGCAGUAAAACACCAACAACUUUUAAUCCUUUUCACACAAAUUGUUUAUGGGGACAGAUCAUCAAUCUCGCAAGGUUCCUCAAACAGUAUCAAGAAGGCUUUUACUAUAAAGCAUGAUUUGUAACCCAUUACAUUUUGACAUUUUUUUCAAUAAAAAACUCAAGCUAUAGUACA